Molecule: regulatory RNA element, 72 nt
Organism: Celeribacter baekdonensis B30
Lineage: Bacteria; Pseudomonadati; Pseudomonadota; Alphaproteobacteria; Rhodobacterales; Roseobacteraceae
Rfam family: L2-Alphaproteobacteria ribosomal protein leader
Source: Rfam
GGCCACCUUCGGGGGGCUAAACAUCAGGCGGACCAGUUACAGGAUCCGCCUCAGCUAGACGGAAGACAGAAA